RNAcentral lists this ribosomal RNA (324 nucleotides) under Rivellia alini. RNAcentral describes it as "partial 28S ribosomal RNA". The record is from RNAcentral. Lineage: Eukaryota; Metazoa; Arthropoda; Insecta; Diptera; Platystomatidae.
CUUAGAGGUUAAGCCCGAUGAACCUGAAUAUCCAUUAUGGAAAAUUCAUCACUAAAAUUUUUAAUAUAAUCACUAUAUUAUAAUGAUAGUGUGCAUUUUUUCCAUAUAAGGACAUUGUAAUCUAUUAAUAUGUAAAUUAAUAUUUAUCAAAAGAUCAUUAACAUUAGUUUAUUCAAAUUAAUUAACUUUUUAAGUUUUUUAACAUAGAAUAAUUGUUGAUGAUUUGAUAAAGUAUUGAUAGAUUUAAAUUAUUAGUGCUAAAAUUCUUUGAAUUUUAUAUAUAAAUGGAUUUUAUUUAUUUAUAUAUAUGCACUUAUAUGAUUA